RNAcentral lists this ribosomal RNA (253 nucleotides) under uncultured bacterium. RNAcentral describes it as "partial 16S ribosomal RNA". It matches the Rfam family "Bacterial small subunit ribosomal RNA", at positions 524 to 776 of the family's 1533-position model. The record is from RNAcentral.
UACGGAGGGGGCUAGCGUUGUUCGGAAUUACUGGGCGUAAAGCGCACGUAGGCGGCUUUGUAAGUUAGAGGUGAAAGCCCGGGGCUCAACUCCGGAAUUGCCUUUAAGACUGCAUCGCUAGAAUUGUGGAGAGGUAAGUGGAAUUCCGAGUGUAGAGGUGAAAUUCGUAGAUAUUCGGAAGAACACCAGUGGCGAAGGCGGCUAUCUGGACGGUUUCUGACGCUAAGACGCGAAAGCGUGGGGAGCAAACAGG